RNAcentral lists this long non-coding RNA (231 nucleotides) under Mytilus galloprovincialis (Mediterranean mussel). The record is from RNAcentral. Lineage: Eukaryota; Metazoa; Mollusca; Bivalvia; Mytilida; Mytilidae.
GUGGAAUUUAAGGCUUGUUUUUAUCAUAGUUGCCCUUAAUCAACUUUUUAUUGAUAAACUUACAAAUUGCAUGGGUAAAAAAAGUUCCUUUAUUGAUUUAGUGUAAAAAUAUAUAUCCCCCUUAACCAAGACAUAACAAACUUGAAACCAGUCAUGACACCUAUGAUUCAUAGACUUCUUACUUUGGAACAUAUUACAAUAAAGAAUACUAGUCUGCACUCAUUUCUUACC